AUUGAACGCUGGCGGCAUGCCUACACAUGCAAGUCGAACGGUAACAGGUCUUCGGAUGCUGACGAGUGGCGAACGGGUGAGUAAUACAUCGGAACGUGCCUAGUAGGGGGGGAUAACUACUCGAAAGAGUGGCUAAUACCGCAUGAGAUCUACGGAUGAAAGCAGGGGCGCGCAAGACUUUGUGCUACUAGAGCGGCGGAUGGCAGAUUAGGUAGUUGGUGGGAUAAAAGCGUACCAAGCCGACGAUCGGUGGCGGGUCUGAGAGGACGAUCAGCCACACUGGGACUGAGACACGGCCCAGACUCCUACGGGAGGCAGCAGUGGGGAAUUUUGGACAAUGGGCGAAAGCCUGAUCCAGCAAUGCCGCGUGCAGGAUGAAGGCCUUCGGGUUGUAAACUGCUUUUGUACGGAACGAAAAGCCCCGGGUUAAUACCCUGGGGUCAUGACGGUACCGUAAGAAUAAGCACCGGCUAACUACGUGCCAGCCGCCGCUGUAA
Molecule: ribosomal RNA, 497 nt
Filed under: uncultured bacterium
Lineage: Bacteria
Description: partial 16S ribosomal RNA
Rfam family: Bacterial small subunit ribosomal RNA
Source: RNAcentral